RNAcentral lists this ribosomal RNA (789 nucleotides) under uncultured organism. RNAcentral describes it as "bacterial SSU rRNA". It matches the Rfam family "Bacterial small subunit ribosomal RNA", at positions 25 to 825 of the family's 1533-position model. The record is from RNAcentral.
CAUGAUGAACGCUGGCGGCGUGCCUAAUACAUGCAAGUCGAACGGGAUUCCAAGAUUUCGGUUUUGGAUGAGAGUGGCGCACGGGUGAGUAACACGUAGCUGACCUGCCCUUUGCCGGGGGAUAACCCGGGGAAACCCGGGCUAAUACCGCGUAAGCUUGAUACUCUUAGAAGGUAUCGAGGAAAGUGUUUGGAAACGGCGAAGGAGGGGGCUGCGGGCCAUCAGCUAGUUGGUGAGGUAACGGCUCACCAAGGCGAAGACGGCUAGGGGGCCUGAGAGGGUGACCCCCCACACUGGGACUGAGACACGGCCCAGACUCCUACGGGAGGCAGCAGUAAGGAAUAUUGCCCAAUGGACGCCAGUCUGAGGCAGCAACGCCGCGUGGAGGAUGACGGUCUUCGGAUUGUAAACUCCUUUUCUGUGUGAAGAGAAAGGACGGUAGCACAGGAAGAAGUCUCGGCUAACUACGUGCCAGCAGCCGCGGUAAAACGUAGGAGGCGAGCGUUAUCCGGAGUUACUGGGCGUAAAGCACGCGUAGGCGGUGGUGCAAGUGGUGCGUGAAAGCUCCUGGCUCAACUGGGAGAGGCCGUACCAAACUGCAUGACUAGAGAGAGACAGAGGUCGACGGAAUUCCGGGUGGAGUGGUGAAAUGCGUAGAGAUCCGGAGGAACAUCAGUGGCGAAGGCGGUCGGCUGGGUCUCAUCUGACGCUGAGGUGCGAAAGCGUGGGUAGCGAACGGGAUUAGAAACCCCGGUAGUCCACGCCGUAAACGAUGCAGACUAGAUGUCG